RNAcentral lists this ribosomal RNA (436 nucleotides) under uncultured bacterium. RNAcentral describes it as "bacterial SSU rRNA". It matches the Rfam family "Bacterial small subunit ribosomal RNA", at positions 355 to 796 of the family's 1533-position model. The record is from RNAcentral.
UCGAGAAUCUUCGGCAAUGGGCGCAAGCCUGACCGAGCGACGCCGCGUGGAGGACGAAGGCCUUCGGGUUGUAAACUCCUGUCGAGGGGGAGGAAGGGGCGAGAGCCCUUGACCGACCCCUGGAGGAAGCACGGGCUAAGUUCGUGCCAGCAGCCGCGGUAAGACGAACCGUGCGAACGUUAUUCGGAAUCACUGGGCUUAAAGCGCGCGUAGGCGGGCCGCCACGUCGGUCGCUGAAAUCCCCCGGCUCAACCGGGGAACGGGCGCCGAAACGAGCGGCCUGGAGGGGCGUAGGGGGACCUGGAACUCCCGGUGGAGCGGUGAAAUGCGUUGAGAUCGGGAGGAACGCCCGUGGCGAAAGCGAGGUCCUGGACGCCGCCUGACGCUGAGGCGCGAAAGCCAGGGGAGCGAACGGGAUUAGAUACCCGCGUAGUCC